CCUACGGGUGGCAGCAGUAGGGAAUCUUUCACAAUGGGCGAAAGCCUGAUGGAGCAACGCCGCGUGCAGGAUGAAGGCCUUCGGGUUGUAAACUGCUUUUAUAAGCGAGAAAUAUGAUGGUAACUUAUGAAUAAGGAUCGGCUAACUACGUGCCAGCAGCCGCGGUCAUACGUAGGAUCCGAGCAUUAUCCGGAGUGACUGGGUGUAAAGAGUUGCGUAGGUGGCAUAAUAAGUAGCUAGUGAAAUCUGGUGGCUCAACCAUUCAGACUAUUAGCUAAACUGUUAAGCUCGAGACCGUUAGGGGUAACUGGAAUUUCUAGUGUAGGAGUGAAAUCCGUAGAUAUUAGAAGGAACACCAAUAGCGUAGGCAGGUUGCUGGGCUUUUACUGACGCUGAGGCUCGAAAGUGUGGGGAGCAAACAGGAUUAGAUACCCUAGUAGUC
Molecule: ribosomal RNA, 442 nt
Filed under: uncultured bacterium
Lineage: Bacteria
Description: partial 16S ribosomal RNA
Rfam family: Bacterial small subunit ribosomal RNA
Source: RNAcentral